UAUCUCUGUAGAGUCUGCAUAUCAAUAAGCGGAGGAAAAGAAACUAACUAGGAUUCCCUUAGUAACGGCGAGUGAAGCGGGAAGAGCUCAAAUUUGGAAUCUUCAAGGUUUUACCUUGACGAAUUGUAGUUUAAAGAAGUGUUUUCUGUUGGUGUUUUGGUAAAAGUUCUUUGGAAUAGGACAUCAUAGAGGGUGAGAAUCCCGUAUUUGACCAUUACUUCCAGCGUUGUGAUACACUUUCAAAGAGUCGGAUUGUUUGGGAAUGCAGUCCAAAAUGGGUGGUAAAUUUCAUCUAAAGCUAAAUACUGGCGAGAGACCGAUAGCGAACAAGUACCGUGAGGGAAAGAUGAAAAGAACUUUGGAAAGAGAGUUAAACAGUACGUGAAAUUGUCAAAAGGGAAGCGUUUGACACCAGUGUUGUUUUCUCGAAAAUCAAUUAAAAAUGGCGGGAUUUUGUGUUGUAUUGACUUUAUCAGCUUUCUGCACUUUUUUCCUGUCUUUUUUAAUGCACUUUUCGUUUAACAAGUCAACAUCAAUUUCUUUUGUUGUAAAAGGGUCAUUGGAAGGUGGCUUUCUUUUCGGAGAAAGUGUUUAUAGCCUUUGGCCUCUGCAAUCGGAGAGACUGAGGUCUGCAGCGUAGAUCCUUCGGGGUUAGAUACAUUUGUGCUAAGUUAUAGCCUUUCAUAGACAACUUGUUGACUAUGAUCAGUCAUGUAGCUUACUCGCUUAUGCUAUUUUACCUACGCUUAGGAUGUUGAGUCAUCACACAUCUCU
RNAcentral lists this ribosomal RNA (774 nucleotides) under uncultured Neocallimastigales. Its description in RNAcentral is "partial large subunit ribosomal RNA". It matches the Rfam family "Eukaryotic large subunit ribosomal RNA", at positions 24 to 614 of the family's 3401-position model. The record is from RNAcentral. Lineage: Eukaryota; Fungi; Neocallimastigomycota; Neocallimastigomycetes; Neocallimastigales.